UGAGGAAUAUUGGUCAAUGGGCGCAAGCCUGAACCAGCCACGUCGCGUGAAGGAAGACGGCCCUACGGGUUGUAAACUUCUUUUGUAAGGGAAUAAAGUGUAGUACGUGUACUAUUUUGCAUGUACCUUACGAAUAAGGAUCGGCUAACUCCGUGCCGGCAGCCGCGGUAAUACGGAGGAUCCGAGCGUUAUCCGGAUUUAUUGGGUUUAAAGGGUGCGCAGGCGGGAGAUUAAGUCGGCGGUGAAAUUUUGCAGCUUAACUGUAAAAGUGCCUUCGAAACUGGUUUCCUUGAGUGUAGAUGAAGUAGGCGGAAUUUGUGGUGUAGCGGUGAAAUGCAUAGAUAUCACGAGGAACUCCGAUUGCGCAGGCAGCUUACUAAACUACUACUGACGCUCAGGCACGAAGGCGUGGGGAUCAAACAG
This 423-nucleotide ribosomal RNA is filed under the name uncultured bacterium. RNAcentral's name for it is "bacterial SSU rRNA". It matches the Rfam family "Bacterial small subunit ribosomal RNA", at positions 355 to 775 of the family's 1533-position model. The record is from RNAcentral.